ACCAGCGGCGAUAGCACGUUGAAUGCACCAGUUCCCAACGGAUCACUGAAGUUAAGCAACGUUGCGCGUGGUUAGUACCUGGAUGGAGACUAUCCGGGGUCUGCGUGCUGCUGGGU
Molecule: ribosomal RNA, 116 nt
Filed under: Diaphorina citri (Asian citrus psyllid)
Lineage: Eukaryota; Metazoa; Arthropoda; Insecta; Hemiptera; Psyllidae
Source: RNAcentral